This 854-nucleotide long non-coding RNA is filed under the name Arabidopsis lyrata. Its description in RNAcentral is "long non-coding RNA (ALYR_LNC002928)". Lineage: Eukaryota; Viridiplantae; Streptophyta; Magnoliopsida; Brassicales; Brassicaceae. The record is from RNAcentral.
CUACUUUAACAAGAGCAUUUUAUAUGAUCAUUGUAGGUAGGAGAACGCGCGUUUGUUAAAAACCAAUUUCAGUAAAUAAAACAAACUACAAUUGCCAAAAAUAACUUUUUAUCCGUAUGAUGUGUCCGUACAUCUUAGCAAGAGAAUUUCUUACACAGAUCGAGUCCUGUAAUACGAUUUUGUGUCUUGAGAAUCUCGAGAGUUGCAUGAGUAUAAUAACUUAUAAUUCAACUUCCAAAGGCCCUGUGUAAAAUUGGAGAGGUGUGAAAUGGAGCAAUUUCGAGAGAUAGGAGAGGUAUUAGGAAGCAUAAGAGCGUUAAUGGUGUUCAAGGACGACAUUCAAAUCAACCAGCGUCAAUGCUCUCUAUUACUCGACCUCUUCACCGCGGCCUACGAGUCGAUUUCCGAAUCGAUGAGAUCGAAUCUACGCUUCAAAGAGAAGAACACUAAAUGGAAGAUUCUAGAACAGCCUUUGAGGGAGCUUCUAUGGGUGGUAAGAGAAGGAGAGGCUUAUGUCAGAAUGUCUUUAGAGCCUAAACUUGGGUUUUGGGCUAAGGCUAUAGUGUUGCAUUGCAAUAGAGAUUGCACAGAGCUUCACAUACAUAACUUGCUCUCUUGUCUACCGAUCAUUGUCGAGGCUAUUGAGACAGCGGGUGAGGUUUCAGGGUGGGAUGAAGAAGAGAUGAGCAAGAAGAGGUUGGUGCAUUCUAACAAGUAUAUGAAGCAAUGGAAUGACUCUCAGAUGUUUACCUGGAAGUUCGGGAGAGAGUAUUUGGUGACCGAAGAUUUCUGCAACCGGUUCGAGAGUGCUUGGACAGAGGACCGUUGGAUUCUAAUCAAGGAGCUUCAGGAGA